GGGGAUGAAAUGGUCUCGACGGGGUGAAUGCAGUACGAAGAAGCAUGCCGAGCUACGCUGGUGGAGCUCGUUAAUACAACUGGCGAAAUCAUAUGUGGCAACACUAUGAACUACCGUCUAGCUGCCUAAUCAAUACGAUCUAGGUGCUGACCAUCCGACCAUCGUUCGCUCCUUGGCGAUGAAUCGGGUGUCAUUUUAGAGGAGCUGCUUUUUGGACAUUGAGUUUGUACCAAAAUUAAGACCACUACUCAUCGUGCAAUAGGCCUGUCUUUCGGCGUACGAUUGCAUUAAAUUCAUUGAAUGACUGAGCAUGGAGAGGCUUCGACUUCAGCACUUCGGACGCGGGUUCGACUCCCGCCAUCUCCAC
Molecule: transfer-messenger RNA, 367 nt
Filed under: Chlorobiota bacterium
Lineage: Bacteria; Pseudomonadati; Chlorobiota
Rfam family: transfer-messenger RNA
About the family: Bacterial tmRNA, also known as 10Sa RNA or SsrA, is named for its dual tRNA and mRNA-like properties. Its role is to liberate the mRNA from a stalled ribosome. To accomplish this part of the tmRNA is used as a reading frame that ends in a translation stop signal.
Source: RNAcentral